GCGACCAUAGCGUUAUGGACCCACCUGAUCCCAUGCCGAACUCAGAAGUGAAACGUAAUAGCGCCGAUGGUAGUGUGGGGUUUCCCCAUGUGAGAGUAGGACAUCGCCAGGC
This 112-nucleotide ribosomal RNA is filed under the name Aliivibrio fischeri. Lineage: Bacteria; Pseudomonadati; Pseudomonadota; Gammaproteobacteria; Vibrionales; Vibrionaceae. The record is from RNAcentral.